GGGAUCCAUCUGCUUGGAGAUGCUGAUAAAGGCAGGGACUCAGUGACGGAGAGGCCAUGGAGACACACUGAAGGCAUGAGUGCAGAGGUGCCAGGUGAGGGAAGGUUGGAGAGGCACACCAGCACACACAAGGUCAUGAGUGCCAGGGGGUCUGGCAGAUGGGACACAGGGAGCUGCAGACAGGUGACUGCAUUCCAUCACCCUGUGACCCUAGAGCAGGGGCUUCUGGUAAGUGGAGAGAUGGAAGCCAGAUUUCGCAAAAUUAGGAAUGGAAAAGUUUGCCUAUAAUGGGAAGCUAUAGGUAAGACCUUCACUGGAGG
This 320-nucleotide long non-coding RNA is filed under the name Homo sapiens (human). RNAcentral's name for it is "non-protein coding lnc-DAP-3:1". The record is from RNAcentral. Lineage: Eukaryota; Metazoa; Chordata; Mammalia; Primates; Hominidae.